RNAcentral lists this ribosomal RNA (377 nucleotides) under uncultured bacterium. Its description in RNAcentral is "bacterial SSU rRNA". It matches the Rfam family "Bacterial small subunit ribosomal RNA", at positions 523 to 898 of the family's 1533-position model. The record is from RNAcentral.
AUACGUAGGGGGCGAGCGUUGUCCGGAAUUACUGGGCGUAAAGGGCGUGUAGGCGGGGCGUCAAGUCAGGUGUGAAACUCCGAGGCUUAACUUCGGGUGUGCAUCUGAAACUGAUGUUCUUGAGUGGCGGAGAGGAAAGUGGAAUUCCCAGUGUAGCGGUGAAAUGCGUAGAGAUUGGGAGGAACACCAGUGGCGAAGGCGGCUUUCUGGACGAUAACUGACGCUGAGGCGCGAAAGCGUGGGUAGCAAACAGGAUUAGAUACCCUGGUAGUCCACGCUGUAAACGAUGGAUACUAGGUGUAGGAGGUAUCGACCCCUUCUGUGCCGGAGUUAACACAAUAAGUAUCCCACCUGGGGAGUACGGCCGCAAGGUUGAA